GGGUACCGCUCCCUUUCUCAUUCUCUGCACCCGGUAUAGGUGCGGAGUGGAG
RNAcentral lists this non-coding RNA (52 nucleotides) under unclassified sequences. The record is from RNAcentral.